GAAAUGGUGGUAGAUUUUAGGAGACAUGAUCUCGUCGAUCCCGUCUAAAACUGAAAUAGGGGACGGAUGCUGCGGCGGAGAGAGAAGAAGAAACGAUUUAUUUAAUGGACAUUAGAAGAAGCAAGGUCGCGCGGAGGGAGAGCGAUUUAUUGUAACGAACAUUAGAAGAAACAAGGUCGUGCGGAGGCGGAGCGAUUUACUAUUUUUCGUGGAGAAGAAGGAAGGUCGUGUGUAUUGGUUUGGUUUGAUUUAGAGGUUUAGAUAGUGAACGGUUCGCUUCGGUUCGGUUUGGUUCGGUUUGGUUCAGAGGUUCAGAGAGAAGUAGUUCAAUGAUUCGGUUCAGCUGUUUAGAGACAACAGUUCGGUUCGGUUCGGUUCAGAGGUUCAGGAGAGACAGUUCAAGACUAAAUUACCAGUCAUUCUGGAAAGUAAUAAACGGUUAGAAAUUCUAUGUUGAUCAAAAAGGAACAAUUCAUGGCAAAGAGAACUACUAACCUGAAACUCUAGCAAGAAGGAAACGUCCACAUCUUGUAAAUGUGAGCGUCGAUUUCUAGGGAUAAGACAAUAAGAUUAUUAUAUAAGAAAGAAAUAUUUGAUCUGAAUACCUAAAUUUCUUAUCGUUCAGAUUUUGGAAUAAUAACAUCAGAUGAUGGUUUCUAAUUGAGGCAAGGAUGGAUAUUAUAGGCAAAAUUGUAGCAGCGAGGAAGGUAGAAGAAUCGGCCAAGGUAGAGGAAUCGACAGACAGUACAUUUGAUGAGACACGAUCCAUCUGAAACGGUGGUAGAUUUUAUGAGACAUGAUCUCGUCGAUCCCGUCUAAAAUGGAAAUAGGGGACAGAUGCUGCGGCGGAGAGAGGAGAAGAAACGAUUUAUUGUAACGGACAUGAGAAGAAGUAAGGUCGCGCGAAGGGGGAGCGAUUUACUAUAACAGACAUGAGAAGAAGCAAGGUCGUGCGAAGGCGGAGCGAUUUACUGUUUUGCGUGGAGAAGAAGCAAGGUCGUGUGUAUUGGUUUGGUUUGAUUUAGAGGUUUAGAUAGUGAACGGUUCGCUUCGGUUCGGUUUGGUUCGGUUUGGUUCAGAGGUUCAGAGAGAGGUAGUUCAAUAGUUCGGUUCAGAUGUUUAGAGACAACAGUUCGGUUCGUUUCGGUUCAGAGGUUCAGAGAGAGACAGUUCAAGACUAAAUUAC
This 1186-nucleotide long non-coding RNA is filed under the name Ananas comosus (pineapple). RNAcentral's name for it is "long non-coding RNA (ACOM_LNC043873)". The record is from RNAcentral. Lineage: Eukaryota; Viridiplantae; Streptophyta; Magnoliopsida; Poales; Bromeliaceae.